GUGCCAGCAGCCGCGGUAAUACGGAGGGUGCAAGCGUUGUCCGGAAUCAUUGGGCGUAAAGGGUACGCAGGCGGAUAUACAAGUCAAAUGUGAAAGGUGUAGGCUUAACCUACAGACUGCGUUUGAAACUGUAUAUCUUGAGAGCAGCAGAGGAAGGCGGAAUUCCUGGUGUAGUGGUGAAAUACGUAGAUAUCAGGAAGAACACCAGUGGCGAAGGCGGUCUUCUGGGCUGCAUCUGACGCUCAUGUACGAAAGCUGGGGCAGCGAACGGGAUUAGAUACCCCGGUAGUCCCAGCUGUAAACGCUGGACACUAGGUGUUGGAGGUUCGAAUCCUUCAGUGCCGGAGUUAACGCAUUAAGUGUCCCGCCUGGGGAAUACGGUCGCAAGACUGAAACUCAAAGGAAUUGACGGGGGCCCGCACAAGCGGUGGAGCAUGUGGUUUAAUUCGAUGCAACGCGCAGAACCUUACC
RNAcentral lists this ribosomal RNA (471 nucleotides) under uncultured Bacillota bacterium. RNAcentral describes it as "bacterial SSU rRNA". It matches the Rfam family "Bacterial small subunit ribosomal RNA", at positions 505 to 975 of the family's 1533-position model. Lineage: Bacteria; Bacillati; Bacillota. The record is from RNAcentral.